GUGCUUGCUGUAGCAGCACAUAUACUAAAACUGGAACGAUCCAGAGAAGAUUAGCAUGGCCCUUGGGCAAGGAUGACGUGCAAAUUUGUGAAGACUUCCACAUUUUC
Molecule: small nuclear RNA, 107 nt
Organism: Camelus dromedarius (Arabian camel)
Lineage: Eukaryota; Metazoa; Chordata; Mammalia; Artiodactyla; Camelidae
Source: Ensembl